GACGAACGCUGGCGGCGUGCUUAACACAUGCAAGUCGAACGGAAAGGCCCUGCUUUUGUGGGGUGCUCGAGUGGCGAACGGGUGAGUAACACGUGAGUAACCUGCCCUUGACUUUGGGAUAACUUCAGGAAACUGGGGCUAAUACCGGAUAGGAGCUCCUGCUGCAUGGUGGGGGUUGGAAAGUUUCGGCGGUUGGGGAUGGACUCGCGGCUUAUCAGCUUGUUGGUGGGGUAGUGGCUUACCAAGGCUUUGACGGGUAGCCGGCCUGAGAGGGUGACCGGCCACAUUGGGACAGAGAUACGGCCCAGACUCCAACGGGAGGCAGCAGUGGGGAAUAUUGCACAAUGGGCGGAAGCCUGAUGCAGAAACGCCGCGUGCGGGAUGACGGCCUUCGGGUGGUAAACCGCUUUCGCCUGUGACGAAGCGUGAGGGACGGUAAUGGGUAAAGAAGCACCGGCUAACUAGGG
This 467-nucleotide ribosomal RNA is filed under the name uncultured bacterium. RNAcentral describes it as "partial 16S ribosomal RNA". It matches the Rfam family "Bacterial small subunit ribosomal RNA", at positions 28 to 506 of the family's 1533-position model. The record is from RNAcentral.